GUAGGGAAUAUUGGACAAUGGGGGGAACCCUGAUCCAGCCAUGCCGCGUGGAGGAAGACUGCCCUCUGGGUUGUAAACUCCUUUUAUAUGGGAAGAACCGUCCUCAUUAAUGAGUGACCUGACGGUACCAUAGGAAUAAGCACCGGCUAACUCCGUGCCAGCAGCCGCGGUAAUACGGAGGGUGCAAGCGUUAUCCGGAUUCACUGGGUUUAAAGGGUGCGUAGGCGGAUAAAUAAGUCAGUGGUGAAAUCAACGGGCUCAACCUGUUAACUGCCAUUGAUACUGUGUAUCUUGAAUAUGAGAGAGGUAGGCGGAAUGUUGCAUGUAGCGGUGAAAUGCUUAGAUAUGCUACGGAACACCGAUUGCGAAGGCAGCUUACUAUUUCGUAAUUGACGCUGAGGCACGAGAGCGUGGGUAGCGAACAGGAUUAGAAACCCGAGUAGUCC
Molecule: ribosomal RNA, 446 nt
Filed under: uncultured bacterium
Lineage: Bacteria
Description: partial 16S ribosomal RNA
Rfam family: Bacterial small subunit ribosomal RNA
Source: RNAcentral